Molecule: ribosomal RNA, 465 nt
Filed under: uncultured bacterium
Lineage: Bacteria
Description: partial 16S ribosomal RNA
Rfam family: Bacterial small subunit ribosomal RNA
Source: RNAcentral
CCUACGGGAGGCAGCAGUGGGGAAUCUUGCGCAAUGGGCGAAAGCCUGACGCAGCGACGCCGCGUGAGGGAUGAAGGUCUUCGGAUCGUAAACCUCUGUCAGUAGGGAAGCACGGUCACUGUGCUAAUCAGCAGUGAAUUGACGGUACCUGCAAAGGAACAACCGGCUAACUCCGUGCCAGCAGCCGCGGUAAUACGGAGGGUGCGAGCGGUAAUCGGAAUUACUGGGCGUAAAGCGCUCGUAGGCGGUAUGUCAAGUCAAGGGUGAAAGCCCCGCGCUCAACGUGGGAACUGCCUUUGAAACUGGCAAACUGGAGUGUGUGAGAGGAUAGUGGAAUUCCAGGUGUAGGAGUGAAAUCCGUAGAUAUCUGGAGGAACAUCAGUGGCGAAGGCGACUAUCUGGCACAUAACUGACGCUGAGGAGCGAAAGCGUGGGUAGCAAACAGGAUUAGAUACCCCUGUAGUC